Long non-coding RNA from Dendroctonus ponderosae (mountain pine beetle), 447 nucleotides. RefSeq lists it as uncharacterized. The transcript is spliced from 2 exons. NCBI's taxonomy places the organism in Eukaryota, Metazoa, Arthropoda, Insecta, Coleoptera, Curculionidae. The record is from RefSeq and is a predicted model, not a curated record.
CGGAUUCUUCUGAUACAAAGCUACAAUAAAUACACUGUGCUAGAUUGAUGCAAGUAAAGAUGGAAUAUGGACAAACCUAUUAGAAGUAGUAGCUACCGGGCGGUUCAAUUCCCAUAGAUUAAGGAUCAGCCUUUGAAGAAUGUAGCUUUAGUCAUCUCAUCCCAAUCCAGCAUUAAAAUAACUGAGGAUUUAUGUGUUAACAUUAUUGGCCCUAUGUAGUGUAACUCUAACGUGUUACGAAAUAUACACAAAAGUGCAUACAUUAUUAAUUUAGGCUGAGAUCAAUGUACGAAUAUUAUGAGCAUUGAACAUAUUGGUUAACAGUUAAUUAAUAUUUGCUGACAUGUUAACCCCAUUAAGUACCAUUAAUGCAAGCAAGCAUAAUGUAAUGUGGUGCACCGCGGAUCCAAAAAGGAUCAGAGUAAGAAUAAACGUAGAUGAGACAAC